Molecule: ribosomal RNA, 627 nt
Filed under: uncultured fungus
Lineage: Eukaryota; Fungi
Description: eukaryotic LSU rRNA
Rfam family: Eukaryotic large subunit ribosomal RNA
Source: RNAcentral
ACCCGCUGAACUUAAGCAUAUCAAUAAGCGGAGGAAAAGAAACCAACAGGGAUUACCUCAGUAACGGCGAGUGAAGCGGUAACAGCUCAAAUUUGAAAUCUGGCUCUUUCAGGGUCCGAGUUGUAAUUUGUAGAAGAUGCUUCGGGUGUGGCUCCUGUCUAAGUUCCUUGGAACAGGACGUCAUAGAGGGUGAGAAUCCCGUAUGUGACUGGCUGCCUCCGCCCAUGUGAAGCUCUUUCGACGAGUCGAGUUGUUUGGGAAUGCAGCUCAAAAUGGGUGGUAAAUUUCAUCUAAAGCUAAAUAUUGGCCAGAGACCGAUAGCGCACAAGUAGAGUGAUCGAAAGAUGAAAAGCACUUUGGAAAGAGAGUUAAACAGUACGUGAAAUUGUUGAAAGGGAAGCGCUUGCAAUCAGACUUGCGCGUUGCCGAUCAUCUGGGGUUCUCUCCAGUGCACUCGGUAGCGCUCAGGCCAGCAUCGGUUUGGGUGGUGGGAUAAAUGCCUUGGGAAUGUAGCUUCUUUCGGGGAGUGUUAUAGCCCUCGGUGCAAUGCCGCCUAUCCGGACCGAGGACCGCGCUUCGGCUAGGAUGCUGGCGUAAUGGUUGUAAGCGACCCGUCUUGAAACACGG